This is a small nucleolar RNA of Euleptes europaea (tarantolino), 72 nucleotides long. The record is from RefSeq and is a predicted model, not a curated record. Lineage: Eukaryota; Metazoa; Chordata; Lepidosauria; Squamata; Sphaerodactylidae.
UCUUAUGAUGAUACAUUUGUUCAGUUCUGCUGCUGAAUGGAAAAUGAUGUAAAGUGGUUUUUAUCUGAAGAA